GCCAGGAAAUGCACGCCAGCCUUCUUCUUUCCUCCUCCCCUUCUUGCUAUCUAUCAGUCCUCUCACCAUCCCAAGCCUCUCUCAUACCCUCCUUCUAUCCCUUCAUCCGCUCACUCUGUGUGGAUAGAUCAGAUGGUGCACCGUAAGGAGAUAAAGCUGCCAGCAUGAUCUGAUCUUUCCCCUCAUAAGAAGCCAAUCAGAUCAUCUGGCAGUUUCAUCUGCUGAUGGGAGCACGUGAAACGCAGGAGCUUAGCUAUAUAUCGAUCAGGUUUGGUUUUCCUAGUCCCUUUGACUCUUCUGUUGUUACUGCUGAUGUUGCUGCUUGUGAUAUGAGAGAGGAGAGGAGAGGAGAGGAGAUGGGAGAGAGAGCGAGAGAGUUUAUUAGGUAUCGGAGUGGAUGGCAAAAUCUGGACAUGGAGGUGAUCAAUCUUGACAACAUAUAUAUCCCUCGCUGUGAUGAUGGUUGUCCAAACUGGAUAUAUUUAACAAGAACAUCUUUCUCAAAGCUGGGUGUAUGUUGUUUUCUCCAGCAUAUGUAUCUUGAUACACAUGUCACACAUUGUGUCUUGGUCUUGUUGCAGCUGCUCCUGUUGAAGGUGCUUCUCAAUGUGAGCAUUAGGUGACAAAUACAACCCCUUAAUUGAUUUGAGUUUGUAAUCUCGGUUUCUUUUAGCUCCCAACUUGUACUACAUAUUUUCUCAUCUUGUCCUCACUACUUCAUUUUGGUCUUUCCAUGCAGCUUCAACUUUAGGGUUCUUUUCUCUAUCAACAAAUUUAUGCAGGAUCUUAGGAGUUAAUAUCUUUUUAUCAAUUUAUAUUUGACACUCUGACCAAAACAGAUUUGCAUCUUCUGCAAUAUGGUUCAGUGUCAGCUUGGUCAAUUGGAGAAAUAAUUUGGAGUGUAGAUAUAUACCCAGAGAAUUUAUCUGGAUGUAUGAAACAUGGGGAAGGACUGCUGAUGAAAGUUCUAGAGAAGACCUGAAUUGAAAUUGAUUAUGGUUAGGACAUGUUAAUAUGGCAUGCAAAAUCUCAUCAAAACAAUACUGCCAAGUGAUUGCUGAUGAAUGUCCCCUUUUUCUCAUUUAAGGAUCUUGAAUUCUGGAGGUCUUCUUGAUGCAUUUAAGUUUCUUCUUUUUUUUUUUGUUUCUUGAUUCUUGUCUUUGUUCUUAGUUCAAUUGCAUCUUCUUUUUUUUCC
Long non-coding RNA from Musa acuminata AAA Group (dessert banana), 1195 nucleotides. RefSeq lists it as uncharacterized. Lineage: Eukaryota; Viridiplantae; Streptophyta; Magnoliopsida; Zingiberales; Musaceae. The transcript has 2 exons. The record is from RefSeq and is a predicted model, not a curated record.